RNAcentral lists this long non-coding RNA (765 nucleotides) under Selaginella moellendorffii. Its description in RNAcentral is "long non-coding RNA (SMOE_LNC000393)". The record is from RNAcentral. Lineage: Eukaryota; Viridiplantae; Streptophyta; Lycopodiopsida; Selaginellales; Selaginellaceae.
GUCCUCGUGCGAAUGCUCUCCGAUCCACAGGUCAGAGUGUCCGUAAUCUGGAAUCACGACUCGAGCGUGGCUGAAUCCAGGGUGAUGCCGCUUCAUGAAUCCGUGCGCGCGGAGAGAGGUCUCUGGAGUGACGAGAAUGGGGCGGCCGCCGGAGAUAUACGUGGUGUGGACUGCUAGCCUCUCCGGAUGAGCCAUGUAAGUCUCCUCUUCUCCUUCACUGUCGACUAUGUGUCCCGCUAGAGCGAUUGAUCGCAAAUGUGGAAAUCCUGCCAUUGGAAGAACUGGCACUGCCUUCUUGUUCAGCCAGUCGUGCAUUUCUAGCCCGACGUUUUGGUGCCAGAAUGUGCUGCCGAAAAUUCCUGAGAAAACAUUGCAUUCAUCGCAGGGACAGCUUUCAGUGCGUGGUAUCGCUCGAGCGAUUGAGCGCAGUAGUCUGUGUCGCCACGGCAUUGAUUCUUCUUUAGGAGGACUUAUCGGCACGAUGGUGUUCUUUCCCAGGAUUUUCAUAGAAAUCUGUAGAAAAACGUAGAGAUGUAAUUCUCAGUUGGUAGAUGGCUAACGCAAAAAACUACUUACAGGGAUGAGAGGCAGAGUCAACUUCACGAGCGCUGAUGGAACCAAGUUGAAGAACAUGGACGAGUUUGUGCAAACUAGCGAUGCGAUCGACGAUGGAGGUAUGUGUCCACCCAUCAAGCUCAUGUGAAUUGAUAGUCCUCCUAUGCAGUGAGCAAUAACGUGUGCCGCUAUCUGCUUUUUCUUGACUUG